Non-coding RNA from Meleagris gallopavo (turkey), 1116 nucleotides. The record is from RefSeq and is a predicted model, not a curated record. NCBI's taxonomy places the organism in Eukaryota, Metazoa, Chordata, Aves, Galliformes, Phasianidae.
UCCAGGCUUGAUGCUCCAUCUGACGGUCCAGCACAUCUCUGGGGUGAUACCCGCAGCCUCAGGCUGCUUUUAAGUCAUAGAGGAGCUGAGGUGGCAUAGAAGGAGGCCUCCGCACAGACAGACCCACCCUCUGACAAAGCAGAUGGAGAGGCCUUUUCUCUAAGGAGAUUGUCAUCUGGGAUGCUUUCCCAUAAUGAAGCAACUCACGCUCCUUGAUCUUACAUCAGUAGUUGUGACUUCAGCUGCUUACCUGAAGGAAGUUGGUGUGGUCCUGGGUUUGGCCCCUUCACGUGCAAGAAACAGCACUUAUGGCAUGACCAGCCUGGUUUCUCAGAAUUUCCCAACUCACGGGGCCUGCCUGAACAAGUUGGAGCUGGAGGAAGGAGGAAGGCAGUCUGCAAACCAUCAGUGGACGCUUUGCUCAGCCCCCAAGCAGCCCUGUGAGCGCUCGAAUUGCUUGGCUACAACACCUACAACCACAUCGAGAACCUGUUUAAACGCUCAGCUCUUUUCACCUUAAUUUGUCAUUUUGUCUGAAUGGUUUCUGAUAUCCGGCGUUGGUGGCACAAAUUCCACAGGCGGAAGGGGAGGAAGAGAACACAUCAGCUUAUUGCCUGCCUUUAAGCAAUGAAGCAUAGAAUCAUCGACUCAGCAAGGCUGGAAAAGACCUCCAGGAUCAUCCAGUCCAACUGUCUGCCUACCACCCGUAUUUCGAACUAAGCCAGGUCCCAGUGCCACGUCUAAAUGUUUCCUGAACACCUCCAGGUCAGUGAGCCCACCAGCUCCCUGGGCAGCCCAUUCCAGCACCUGACUGCUCUCUUGGGGAAGAAAUAUUUCCUAACAUCCAACCCGAACCUCCCCUAGCACAACUUGCAGCCAGUAAGGAAGCACUCACAUUCCAGGAACUGCCCUGCUUUGAACUCUUUAAAAGAGUCAUUCACAUCCUCUGUGAAAUACCACCACAACAAAAAACAACUAGAGUCAGCAGAAAACGUGAACAUUGAUAAAUGCAAUAAAUACAGAGUCAUCCGAUCUUUAGAAUUGAUUCACAGAAUCACCAAGGUUGGAGAAAACCUCCAAGAUCACCCAUUCCAACACCCACCUACCACCAAUAGC